UGGCUUACAUUUCUGUCAUGCACAUACAUACUCUUUUCUCUGCUGAGAAAGAUAUGGAUUUGAUUGAGGAGCCUCCUGCAGAAGGGAAGAAAAUAAAUCAAAGUUUUUUUCAAGAUGGAGCAUUUGUAGAAGGCACUCAUGCCGUUGGCAGCUACAGAUUUUACCCAUCUGAAG
This is a long non-coding RNA of Cygnus olor (mute swan), 174 nucleotides long. RefSeq lists it as uncharacterized. NCBI's taxonomy places the organism in Eukaryota, Metazoa, Chordata, Aves, Anseriformes, Anatidae. The transcript has 4 exons. The record is from RefSeq and is a predicted model, not a curated record.